Molecule: ribosomal RNA, 468 nt
Filed under: uncultured bacterium
Lineage: Bacteria
Description: partial 16S ribosomal RNA
Rfam family: Bacterial small subunit ribosomal RNA
Source: RNAcentral
GACGAACGCUGGCGGCGUGCUUAACACAUGCAAGUCGAACGGAAAGGCCCUGCUUGCAGGGUGCUCGAGUGGCGAACGGGUGAGUAACACGUGGGUGAUCUGCCCCUUACUUUGGGAUAAGCCUGGGAAACUGGGUCUAAUACUGGAUAGGACCAUGCUUUAGGUGGUGUGGUGGAAAGAUUAGUUUCGGUAAGGGAUGAGCUCGCGGCCUAUCAGCUUGUUGGUGGGGUAAUGGCCUACCAAGGCGUCGACGGGUAGCCGGCCUGAGAGGGUGGACGGCCACAUUGGGACUGAGAUACGGGCCAGACUCCUACGGGAGGCAGCAGUGGGGAAUAUUGCACAAUGGGCGCAAGCCUGAUGCAGCGACGCCGCGUGGGGGAUGAAGGCCUUCGGGUUGUAAACUCCUUUCAGCCAUGACGAAGCCUUCGGGUGACGGUAGUGGUAGAAGAAGCACCGGCUAACUACGUG